This 250-nucleotide ribosomal RNA is filed under the name uncultured bacterium. Its description in RNAcentral is "partial 16S ribosomal RNA". It matches the Rfam family "Bacterial small subunit ribosomal RNA", at positions 355 to 622 of the family's 1533-position model. The record is from RNAcentral.
UGGGGAAUAUUGGACAAUGGGGGCAACCCUGAUCCAGCAAUGCCGCGUGUGUGAAGAAGGUCUUCGGAUUGUAAAGCACUUUCGACGGGGACGAUGAUGACGGUACCCGUAGAAGAAGCCCCGGCUAACUUCGUGCCAGCAGCCGCGGUAAUACGAAGGGGGCUAGCGUUGCUCGGAAUGACUGGGCGUAAAGGGCGUGUAGGCGGUUUACACAGUCAGAUGUGAAAUCCCCGGGCUUAACCUGGGAGCU